RNAcentral lists this ribosomal RNA (253 nucleotides) under uncultured bacterium. RNAcentral describes it as "partial 16S ribosomal RNA". It matches the Rfam family "Bacterial small subunit ribosomal RNA", at positions 524 to 776 of the family's 1533-position model. The record is from RNAcentral.
UACAGAGGGCGCAAGCGUUAUUCGGAUUCACUGGGCAUAAAGAGCACGUAGGCGGCUACGUAAGUCGGAUGUGAAAUCCCGCGGCUCAACCGCGGAAUGGCAUCCGAUACUGCGUGGCUCGAGGUCGGAAGGGGUAAGCGGAACUCCAGGUGGAACGGUGAAAUGUGUAGAUAUCUGGAGGAACACCGGUGGCGAAGGCGGCUUACUGGUCCGAAACUGACGCUGAGGUGCGAAAGCUAGGGGAGCGAACGGG